Malurus melanocephalus (red-backed fairy wren) is the source of this 2516-nucleotide long non-coding RNA. RefSeq lists it as uncharacterized. The record is from RefSeq and is a predicted model, not a curated record. Lineage: Eukaryota; Metazoa; Chordata; Aves; Passeriformes; Maluridae. The transcript has 3 exons.
GGGGCAUCCUCCAUUUUCUGGGAUAAUGUUUGUGACUGUCAUGGCCUGUCCUGCCCAGGGAAGGCUGGAGCUUCUCCCCUUGAGUCUCCCUUAUUCUGUAAACCCCGCAAGGAGUUCCUACAGCCCCACAAAGUUUUAUUUUACUGACAGGAAAUCAGGGGGUGAGAAAAGGGAGCUGUGGGCAGAGCUGAGCUCGGGACAUCCCUCAGAGCCCGACCCCUCAGUGCUGCAGCCCCCAGGAUGGUGCCACUCUCAGUGUCCCCCAGUGCCACCAACACGCCCUGGCCAGGGCACCAUGGAGGAACCUCAGCCCUUCUUGGACCCCUCAAACCCAGGAUUUGGGAAUGCUGCAGGAAUUCUCGGGCUGGAAUCACCUCAGGGAUUCACCCAGGACAAAUCUCCUUCCUCCACCUGGUCCCUGUUGCUCCGUGGGCUGGUGCUGGAGCUGAUGGAGCUGUUGGAGGGUGGAAUUUUUUGGGAUCMUGUUCCAUUUUUCCUUUUCCUUGCCCCCAUCAGCCUGCCCUGAGCUGUGCUUUGCCCCGACAUAAAGAAUUGUCUAUAUUUGUGCUUUUUGUAGGAACUUAGCCAUUGGGAUUGGGAUCCAGAACUUYCCAGAAGGGCUGGCUGUCAGCCUCCCCCUGCGCGGCGCGGGUUUCUCCACSUGGAAAGCGUUCUGGUACGGGCAGCUGAGCGGGAUGGUGGAGCCUCUGGCCGGUCUGUGGGGUGCCUUUGCCGUGGUGCUGGCGGAGCCGCUGCUGCCCUACGCGCUGGGCUUUGCUGCUGGAGCCAUGGUGUACGUGGUGAUGGACGACAUCAUCCCCGAGGCACAGACCAGUGGCAACGGGAAGUUGGCAUCGUGGACCUCCAUCCUGGGCUUUGUGGUGAUGAUGUCCCUGGAUGUGGGGCUGGGAUAGGAGCCCUCGGAUCAGGAUCGGGAUCUGCUCCAGGACUGCAUUUGUACAUAGGUUUUUUUUGGGAUCUGGUUUGGUGUUGAUUUCCUCUGAUUUUGUACUUCCCCUGGCGAUGGUUUCCAAGCACAACCGGGGCUGGGUCCUCCCCGAUCCGGGGUUGGUUUUUCUCUUGGAUUCUCCAAGGAAAGGUUUUUGGGAUUCUGUCGGAGCUCAGGAAUUCCCGAUCCAGAGUUGGUUUUUCUCUUGGAUUCUCCAAGGAAAGCUUUUUGGGAUUCUGUCAGAGCUCAGGAAUUCCCAAUCCGGGGUUGGUUUUUCUCUUGGAUUCUCCAAUGAAAGGUUUUUGGGAUUCUGUCAGAACUCAGAAAUUCCCGAUCCGGGGUUGGUUUUUCUCUUUGAGGGGACGUUGGAUUCUCCAAGAAAACGUUUUUGGGAUUCUGUCAGAGCUCAGGAAUUCCCAAUCCGGGGUUGGUUUUUCUCUUGGAGGGGACGUUGGAUUCUCCAAGGAAAGGUUUUGGGAUUCUGUCAGACCUCAGGAAUUCCCAAUCCGGGGUUGGUUUUUCUCUUGGAUUCUCCAAGGAAAGGUUUUUGGGAUUCUGUCAGAGCUCAGGAAUUCCCUGCCCCUGUGGAGGCUCCUCUGGGGUUAAGAACCGAGGAUUGGAACGGAAUAAACUCCUGGUAGAGUCUGGAAUUCCAGCCUUUUUUGGGGCUGUGAUGAGCUGUGGGAUCCCAGCUCUCCCACCUCCUGCUGCUCCUCGGGAAUGCUGCAGGGAGUUGGUUCUGAUGGGUGCAAACAGUCCAAGCCAAUAAAGAUGAAUUUUCUUGGCAUCUCUGCAAGAGGGAAAUGUCUUUUUUUUCCCUGAUUUUAUCUCAGAGGGCCACUGCUCCAAUAUUCCUGGGGUUUUCUAUAAAAAAACAAAAAAAAGCCAGGAAAGGAGGAUUGGGGUGUUUUCUAGGACACGGUGUCGGUGCUGUGCAUGGGAUGCAAUUCCAUGAAUUCCAGCUGCUGCUUCCAGUGAUCCACAGCUCCCUGAAGAGCCAUUCUGGGUUUGUCCUGGUCACACUUCACCUGGGAAAGAGCGGGAGCCGAGCCACAAUUCCGGAGAAUUCCCAGGAAUUCCGGGAGCUCUCGUCAUAAUGAAUGGAUUCCUCGGGAUGAAUGGAUUCUUCGGGAUGAGUUAAUUUUUUCUGGAAUGCCAGAAAAGCACGUGGAGGUUCCUGRUCCUUCCCCUGGUGCUUUCCAAGCGUUCCUGGUGGGAUGGAUCCUCCUGAGCACCGAGGAUUGACUGAACCCUCCAGGCAGGAGGGAAUGGCUGAAUUUGGAAAAUCUCCAGCACAAAGGGCUUCCCUGAACCCUCCAGAGGGAAUAACUGCAUCACCUGCUGCUCAAUCCCUCUGGAAAUGGGGCUGGAACAUCCCAAAUCCCCCUUCCAAAGGGAACAGGUUGGAAUAAACCAAACUGGAGCUGUCCCUUUUUGUUGGGUCCUUGUUUUGGUUUUUUUUGGAUGGAUUUCCUCUGUCUGUCCCUCUGGAUGAUCCGAAGCUCCUGUUUGCCAAUGGAUUUGACCUUUUAACUGUGAUUGCUUUCAAUAAAUGGGAAAUGGAGUU